This is a non-coding RNA of Paralichthys olivaceus (Japanese flounder), 202 nucleotides long. NCBI's taxonomy places the organism in Eukaryota, Metazoa, Chordata, Actinopteri, Pleuronectiformes, Paralichthyidae. The record is from RefSeq and is a predicted model, not a curated record.
GCGGGAGAAGUUUGACAAUUAGCGCCAAUUUAAUCCCCGGCCACAGCUCCCGAGCUCUUCACGUGACCAUUCCCGUGACCUUCCCCUCGAUGGGCUCCAGUCUACUCACAUGAAAGAUGCCUCCCUCCUUUGGUACCUGUUCGUCCUGCAAGACUUGUGAUCAUCUUGGCACGUAUAGUAGGCUCUAAACACAUCUCACACA